Molecule: long non-coding RNA, 305 nt
Organism: Panicum virgatum (switchgrass)
Lineage: Eukaryota; Viridiplantae; Streptophyta; Magnoliopsida; Poales; Poaceae
Exons: 3
Source: RefSeq, a predicted model, not a curated record
AUUCUAUAGCAGAAUUGGAUCUUUUUUUUCAAGCAAUAAAAUUAAAACAGCAAAAGUAUUUCUAUAUAUGAAAGGGACAUCUUGAUCUGUUCUUGGAGCCUUAGAGGGGAGAGAGGAGCUGGAGUCUGUUGAGGAGUGGUGCUGGGAGGUAGCAGACGAGCACCAUGCCCUCAUCCAACAACCUUAGGGAAGGAGAUAAGGUGUUGCUGGAGAGUGGAGAGGAGGGAUUGCAGCACUCUCUAUUCCACCCAGGUCUUGCAAAAGCACCUUGGGAGGUACUACUCCCAUGCUGUUCAAGACAUUGU